Molecule: unclassified non-coding RNA, 148 nt
Filed under: soil metagenome
Description: partial internal transcribed spacer 1
Source: RNAcentral
CCGAGUUUACAACUCCCAAACCCCUGUGAACAUACCUAUACGUUGCCUCGGCGGAUCAGCCCGCGCCCCGUAAAAAGGGACGGCCCGCCCGAGGACCCCUAAACUCUGUUUUUAGUGGAACUUCUGAGUAUAAACAAACAAAUAAUCA